This 843-nucleotide ribosomal RNA is filed under the name Gregarina polymorpha. RNAcentral's name for it is "bacterial SSU rRNA". It matches the Rfam family "Eukaryotic small subunit ribosomal RNA", at positions 628 to 1571 of the family's 1831-position model. Lineage: Eukaryota; Apicomplexa; Conoidasida; Eugregarinorida; Gregarinidae. The record is from RNAcentral.
CCGUAGUUAGAUAUCGAUUGGUUUGAAAGCAACCUGCAAAGGAUGCAACUUAAACCUUUAACUUGUUACCUUGAGAAAAUGGAGGCGCCUAAGGCACGCGAUAUGUGUGAACUAUCUAGCAUGGAAUAGCACAUUUAAACUGUCAAUAAACAUGCCGAAUGUUUGUUGAUUAGGAUGAUUGAUAAGGGCAGUCGGGGACACUUGUACUUGCUGGAGAGAGGUGAAAUUCUGAGACCCGGCAAAGACACUCAAAUGCGAAAGCUUUUGUCCAGAAUGUUCCUGUUAAUCAAGGACUAAAGUUGGGGGAUCGAAGACGAAAACAUGCCGUCGUAGUCCCAACCGUAAACCAUGCCGACUGAUCGUUGGUUAGAAGUCUGUAUUCUUUUCAGCGUUCGAAAGAAAUUGAAGUUUUUGGGCCCUGGGGGGAGUAUGGUUGCAAGACUGAAACUUAAAGGAAUUGACGGAAGGGCACCACCAGGAGUGGAGCUUGCGGCUUAAUUCGACUCAACGCGUGAAAUUUUACCAGGUCCGGACAUAGUUAUGAUUGACAAACUAAAAGAUUUUUCUAAAUUCUAUGGGUGGUGGUGCAUGGCCGUUCUUAGUCGGUGAGGUGACUUGUCUGGUUUAUUCCGAUAACGGACGAGACCUUGACCUUUAAUUCUCGACUGUUAUCUUAAAUGGAAGAGUCUUAAAGGGACUCAAUGUUCCAAACAUUGGGAAGAUCAAGGCAAUAACAGGUCUGUGAUGCCCUUAGAUAACCUGGGCUGCACGUGUGCUACAAUAACAUGCACAACGAGUACCAAUAUCGAAACGAUGUUGUGAAUCUUCAAAGCGUGUUAAGGU